UCGGCGGACGGGUGAGUAACGCGUGGAUAACCUGCCUCAUACAGGGGGGUAACAGUUAGAAAUGACUGCUAAUACCGCAUAAGCACCCGGGAGCGCAUGCUCCUGGGUGAAAAGCUCCGGCGGUAUGAGAUGGAUCCGCGUCUGAUUAGCUGGUUGGCGGGGUAACGGCCCACCAAGGCGACGAUCAGUAGCCGACCUGAGAGGGUGGCCGGCCACAUUGGGACUGAGACACGGCCCAAACUCCUACGGAAGGCAGCAG
This 259-nucleotide ribosomal RNA is filed under the name uncultured bacterium. RNAcentral's name for it is "partial 16S ribosomal RNA". It matches the Rfam family "Bacterial small subunit ribosomal RNA", at positions 95 to 354 of the family's 1533-position model. The record is from RNAcentral.